UACGUAGGGUGCAAGCGUUAUCCGGAAUUAUUGGGCGUAAAGAGCUCGUAGGCGGUUUGUCGCGUCUGCUGUGAAAACCCGAGGCUCAACCUCGGGCCUGCAGUGGGUACGGGCAGACUAGAGUGCGGUAGGGGAGAUUGGAAUUCCUGGUGUAGCGGUGGAAUGCGCAGAUAUCAGGAGGAACACCGAUGGCGAAGGCAGAUCUCUGGGCCGUUACUGACGCUGAGGAGCGAAAGCAUGGGGAGCGAACAGG
Molecule: ribosomal RNA, 253 nt
Filed under: uncultured bacterium
Lineage: Bacteria
Description: partial 16S ribosomal RNA
Rfam family: Bacterial small subunit ribosomal RNA
Source: RNAcentral